RNAcentral lists this ribosomal RNA (725 nucleotides) under uncultured archaeon. Its description in RNAcentral is "bacterial SSU rRNA". It matches the Rfam family "Archaeal small subunit ribosomal RNA", at positions 153 to 883 of the family's 1478-position model. The record is from RNAcentral.
CCCAUAGGCUACGGAUACUGGAAUGUUCUGUAGUCAAAAGAUUUAUCGCCACAGGAUGGGUCUGCGGCCGAUUAGGUAGUUGUUGGGGUAAAGGCCCAACAAGCCUUUGAUCGGUACGGGUUGUGGGAGCAAGAGCCCGGAGAUGGAUUCUGAGACACGAAUCCAGGCCCUACGUGGCGCAGCAGGCGCGAAAACUUUACAAUGCGGGAAACCGUGAUAAGGGAACUCCGAGUGUCCGCAAAUUCGGACUGUCCGUAUGUUUAAAAAGCAUACGAAGAAAGGGCCGGGCAAGACCGGUGCCAGCCGCCGCGGUAAUACCGGCGGCUCGAGUGGUGGCCACUAUUACUGGGCUUAAAGCGUUCGUAGCUUGGUUGUUAAGUCUCUUGGGAAAUCUAUCGGCUUAACCGAUAGGCGUCCAGGGGAUACUGGCAAUCUAGGGACCGGGAGAGGUGAGGGGUACUUCAGGGGUAGGAGUGAAAUCCUGUAAUCCUUGGGGGACCACCUGUGGCGAAGGCGCCUCACCAGAACGGCUCCGACAGUGAGGGACGAAAGCUGGGGGAGCAAACCGGAUUAGAUACCCGGGUAGUCCCAGCCGUAAACGAUGCACGUUAGGUGUAUCGAUGACCACGAGUCAUCGAGGUGCCGAAGGGAAACCGUGAAACGUGCCGCCUGGGAAGUACGGUCGCAAGGCUGAAACUUAAAGGAAUUGGCGGGGGAGCACAAUC